GGAUCCCUACCAUUGAUAUUGAGAAGCUUUAAGAAAUUUUCAUUUGAGACGUCCAAAAAUAUCCUAGUAAGUCAUUGAAGUCCUCUAUAAAUACAAUUGAGUGAAAUCCAAGACUUAAUCAAGCACGAAAUCAAUCUCUUUUCUUAAAUGAAGGCCUUCCUCGUUGUCUUCUUCCUUUUGAUUUCUGGAGUUUUAGGAGCUCCGAAUUCAUUUAUUGACGGUGAGAUGAUUAUUUUUUAAUUCAUUUUGCUUAAAUUUAUAUAUUUUAUAAAAUAAAUCGUAAUUUAAAAGUAAAAAAUUAUAAAUAUUAAAGUUUGAAUCCAAAUUUACAAAAUAUUACAUUUAAAAGAUUAAUUUUAUGAUCCAUUUGAGCUAUAAAACAUACAACCAAAACAACUAAUUUGUAUUAGUAGUUUAUACAUGGCGUUCAUCUUUACAGAAUUUUAUUUUGAAAAGUCUAAGGACUCUUACCUAUUUUUUUUCAUCCUAAUCCAAUUCUUAUUUGGAGUUGCAGAAGGUACAGGGGAUCCGUUCCAUAGAGGUGAGACUUACUUUCUAAUCUAUUUUAUGCUUAUAUUUAUGUUAAUAUUGUACGAAAUAUGAUUUUCAUUAAUAUUUUAUGGCAGUCAGUUGCUUCCCGUUCACUUCUUUGCCUUUAUUUUUAUAUAUGGUUCUUUUCCAUUUAAGUAAUUAAGAUAAGAUAUAAGGACUGUUAUUUUAACGUUUUUCUAUUUAUUCCUUUAUAUUACUGACCAAAAAAAAAAAAUUACUCUAAGUGGUUGCAAUAAUUCAUUAAAUCUGAUAUUAACUUUAGAGAAUGGAUUAAUUUACAAAAUGUAAAAUUAAAAAAAUUUUACAUUUUUUUAACAAUUAAUUUAAUAAAUUAAAAAAAAAAAAAGAUAAGUAAGAAAUUAAAAAAAUAAUUUAAUUUCAUCUCUUAAAUAUAUUGAAAUUAAUAACUAGAAAAUUAUAUAAAGCUUUUUAAUUUUAUAUCUCCUCUUAAUUUUAAAAAUAUAUAUAACAAUAGUUAAAAGGAAAUUUAUGGACUUUCUUUUCUCUGUCAUUCUUCUAAAUUUUUUAAACUUUAAAAAAAAAAUUUUUUUGGAUGAUAUUUGGCAUUUUGUAGAUUAAUUUCUUUUGUCAUAAAUUUAUUUUAUAUAUGAUGUGUGAAUUUUUUUUUUUGGGAAAGUACAGCCUAGGAAAGGGUGACCUAUCGUUAUUAGUGGCGGAUCUAUAUUGUUUAUAAGUAGAAUAUUCAUAAAUAUCCCAAAGAUUGAAAAAUUAAAAUUUGAGAAAACGUUUUUUCCUAAGCACCCUAAAUUAUUUUUUUGGAUAUGUUUUUUAUCAAUAGAAUUAGUAAACUCAUUAUAAUAAAAUUUGACAGUAUUAGAAAUAAUUCGAUUGUUUAAUUACAUAUAUUGAAAAUGAUAUAUUUGAUAAUAUCAGAAAUGAUGUAAUUAUGCUUUUUUUUUUAAUAUGAAAACUCGUGUGACAACUAUAAUAAUAUAACAAAAUAUUAAUUAAAUUAUUGUUUACAAUUUUGUUAUAUAUAUAUAUAUAUAUUAUAAAUGAAUACUAAAAAAAUCUUUUAAAUCCGUCACCAAUUUUAUUGAAUGAAUUUAAACAUAUUUUUUACGUCAAAAUUUGCUUUUAGAUAUAUAUAUAUAUAUAUAUAUAUAUAUGUAUGCACGGGUGUUUCCUCAAACUAGUAAUAAAUUUUUAUUCUAUUUUUUAUAUUUUCAGGAGCAAAAAACGCACCUACGCAGCCAAUAACGUGCAUGAAGAAUGGACACCACCAUAUAUGCAAUAUUCCUUUACUACCACCAGGAAAAGGAUGGCCUAAUCUGCAAUCCACAUGCCCUUGUUGUGUUGGAAUAUACACACGCGGUUGUCCCCAGCAAUAAUUCUCAUUAUAAAGAUAGCACAUAAUAUGCUGCAUGUGUUUUAUGGUUUGUAUUAAUUGCAACGUAUUAGUUUCUAUCUUUUUAGCUUUUAACUCGUUGGCUUGUUAGAAAUAUUUUUCUUUUUUAAAUGCAAAUUUGAAUUAUAGAAUAAAAGAUAAUCAUCAUCCAUCCAUUUCAUAUAUUCACUACAGGGGUUUAGGUUUUUAGUGACAUUUUUUUUAACGUUUAGCGACAUUUAUAAAUAUUACUAAAAGAUUUAUGACGUUUGCAAAAAAUACUAGUCAGGGUGUUAGUUAUACACGUGUCAGGAAAAGUAACGGUAUUUUUUACAAACGUCACUAAAUUAGUGGUGUUUUCUAUAAAACACUGUUAAAUUAAUGACGUUUAUAUCUUUCAGAUGCCGUUAAUUUAGUAACACUUUUAUCAAAAAAAAUACCGUUAUUAUGGUGUCGUUUAAAUGAUAAGACGCCGCUUAAUUAGUAGCGUUUGUGUCUGAAAAAAUAUCGCUAUUUUAACGGUAUUUGUAUAUUUGAAACGCCGCUAAUUUGGUGACGUUUUUAUCAGUAAAACACCAUAUUACGGUGAUGUUUAAGUGAUAAGAUGUCGUUAAAUUAGUGGCAUUUUUUGAUAAAACCAUUGCUAAAACGCCACUAAAUUAUUCAUUUAGCGGCAUUCUUGAACGCAAACGUCAUAAAAUUAAGAAAUUUAUUUUUAUUAAAUAAAAAAUUUUUGUUAAUAAUUAUUAUUUUCAUUAACAAGAAAUGUUAAUGAAAUAAAAAUGAACUUAAAUUCAGAAACUAAAAUUAAUAAACACUUAAUUCACGUUCAAAUAUAUAGCUAAUUAACACAAAGUUUAAUAAUUAGUACAAUAACGUUCAAAUUUUUUUUAAUAUAUUAACAAAAAACAAAUUAAAAUGUAUGAAAUUGAUGACUACAUACAUUUUGAAGACUGCCAAUUGAUGAAGAAAUUUUUCAUCUUGUUCACUAAUGUGCUCAAGAACCUACUGAAUAAUACCAUAUAAUUUUUAACACUUCAUAAUAAGCUUUUUUUAUAUUAAAAAAAUAAAUAUCUAGUAAAUAUAAUACCUGAGUUGGUGGACCACCGAGAUCAGUUCUUAAAAAUUGUUGUUACACAAAAUUCAUAAGAUUAUCGAAUCAAUCAUGCAA
Molecule: long non-coding RNA, 3071 nt
Filed under: Durio zibethinus
Lineage: Eukaryota; Viridiplantae; Streptophyta; Magnoliopsida; Malvales; Malvaceae
Description: long non-coding RNA (DZIB_LNC001958)
Source: RNAcentral